GACGAACGCUGGCGGCGUGCUUAACACAUGCAAGUCGAACGGAAAGGCCCUGCUUUUGUGGGGUGCUCGAGUGGCGAACGGGUGAGUAACACGUGAGUAACCUGCCCUUGACUUUGGGAUAACUUCAGGAAACUGGGGCUAAUACCGGAUAGGAGCUCCUGCCGCAUGUUGGGGGUUGGAAAGUUUCGGCGGUUGGGGAUGGACUCGCGGCUUAUCAGCUUGUUGGUGGGGUAGUGGCUUACCAAGGCUUUGACGGGUAGCCGGCCUGAGAGGGUGACCGGCCACAUUGGGACUGAGAUACGGCCCAGACUCCUACGGGAGGCAGCAGGGGGGAAUAUUGCACAAUGGGCGGAAGCCUGAUGCAGCAACGCCGCGUGCGGGAUGACGGCCUUCGGGUUGUAAACCGCUUUCGCCUGUGACGAAGCGUGAGUGACGGUAAUGGGUAAAGAAGCACCGGCUAACUACGUG
Molecule: ribosomal RNA, 468 nt
Filed under: uncultured bacterium
Lineage: Bacteria
Description: partial 16S ribosomal RNA
Rfam family: Bacterial small subunit ribosomal RNA
Source: RNAcentral